CAGCCGCCGCGGGAAUACGAAGGGGGCUAGCGUUGUUCGGAAUCACUGGGCGUAAAGCGCACGUAGGCGGAUUUUUAAGUCAGGGGUGAAAUCCCGAGGCUCAACCUCGGAACUGCCUUUGAUACUGGGAAUCUGGAGUCCGGGAGAGGUGAGCGGAACUGCGAGUGUAGAGGUGAAAUUCGUAGAUAUUCGCAAGAACACCAGUGGCGAAGGCGGCUCACUGGGCCGACACUGACGCUGAGGAGCGAAAGCGUGGGGAGCGAACAGGAUUAGAUACCCGGGUAGUCCCUGUCUCUUAUAC
This 301-nucleotide ribosomal RNA is filed under the name uncultured bacterium. Its description in RNAcentral is "partial 16S ribosomal RNA". It matches the Rfam family "Bacterial small subunit ribosomal RNA", at positions 509 to 807 of the family's 1533-position model. The record is from RNAcentral.